RNAcentral lists this ribosomal RNA (497 nucleotides) under uncultured bacterium. RNAcentral's name for it is "partial 16S ribosomal RNA". It matches the Rfam family "Bacterial small subunit ribosomal RNA", at positions 28 to 507 of the family's 1533-position model. The record is from RNAcentral.
GAUGAACGCUGGCGGCGUGCCUAAUACAUGCAAGUCGAGCGAACAGACGAGGAGCUUGCUCCUCUGACGUUAGCGGCGGACGGGUGAGUAACACGUGGAUAACCUACCUAUAAGACUGGGAUAACUUCGGGAAACCGGAGCUAAUACCGGAUAAUAUAUUGAACCGCAUGGUUCAAUAGUGAAAGACGGUUUUGCUGUCACUUAUAGAUGGAUCCGCGCCGCAUUAGCUAGUUGGUAAGGUAACGGCUUACCAAGGCAACGAUGCGUAGCCGACCUGAGAGGGUGAUAGGGCACACUGGAACUGAGACACGGGCCAGACACCUACGGGAGGGAGCAGUAGGGAAAAUUCCGCAAUGGGCGAAAGCCUGACGGAGCAACGCCGCGUGAGUGAUGAAGGGCUUCGGAUCGUAAAACUCUGUUAUUAGGGAAGAACAAAUGUGUAAGUAACUAUGCACGUCUUGACGGUACCUAAUCAGAAAGCCACGGCUAAAUACGUG